UCCUACGGGACGCAGCAGUGAGGAAUAUUGGUCAAUGGGCGCGAGCCUGAACCAGCCAAGUCGCGUGAGGGAAGACGGUCCUAUGGAUUGUAAACCUCUUUUGUCGGGGAGCAAAAGACGCCACGCGUGGCGUUCCGAGAGUACCCGAAGAAAAAGCAUCGGCUAACUCCGUGCCAGCAGCCGCGGUAAUACGGAGGAUGCGAGCGUUAUCCGGAUUUAUUGGGUUUAAAGGGUGCGUAGGCGGACUGGAAAGUCAGCGGUAAAAUCGAGAGGCUCAACCUCUUUCCGCCGUUGAAACUGUCGGU
Molecule: ribosomal RNA, 305 nt
Filed under: uncultured bacterium
Lineage: Bacteria
Description: bacterial SSU rRNA
Rfam family: Bacterial small subunit ribosomal RNA
Source: RNAcentral